GACGAACGCUGGCGGCGUGCCUAAUACAUGCAAGUAGAACGCUGAAGAGAGGAGCUUGCUCUUCUUGGAUGAGUUGCGAACGGGUGAGUAACGCGUAGGUAACCUGCCUGGUAGCGGGGGAUAACUAUUGGAAACGAUAGCUAAUACCGCAUAAAAUUGAUUAUUGCAUGAUAAUUAAUUGAAAGAUGCAAUUGCAUCACUACCAGAUGGACCUGCGUUGUAUUAGCUAGUUGGUGAGGUAACGGCUCACCAAGGCGACGAUACAUAGCCGACCUGAGAGGGUGAUCGGCCACACUGGGACUGAGACACGGCCCAGACUCCUACGGGAGGCAGCAGUAGGGAAUCUUCGGCAAUGGGGGGGACCCUGACCGAGCAACGCCGCGUGAGUGAAAGAGGUUUUCGGAUCGUAAAGCUCUGUUGUAAGAGAAGAACGGGUGUGAGAGUGGAAAGUUCACACUGUGACGGUAUCUUACCAGAAAGGGACGGCUAACUACGUGCCAGCAGCCGCGGUAAUACGUAGGUCCCGAGCGUUGUCCGGAUUUAUUGGGCGUAAAGCGAGCGCAGGCGGUUAGAUAAGUCUGAAGUUAAAGGCUGUGGCUUAACCAUAGUAUGCUUUGGAAACUGUUUAACUUGAGUGCAGAAGGGGAGAGUGGAAUUCCAUGUGUAGCGGUGAAAUGCGUAGAUAUAUGGAGGAACACCGGUGGCGAAAGCGGCUCUCUGGUCUGUAACUGACGCUGAGGCUCGAAAGCGUGGGGAGCAAACAGGAUUAGAUACCCUGGUAGUCCACGCCGUAAACGAUGAGUGCUAGGUGUUAGGCCCUUUCCGGGGCUUAGUGCCGCAGCUAACGCAUUAAGCACUCCGCCUGGGGAGUACGACCGCAAGGUUGAAACUCAAAGGAAUUGACGGGGGCCCGCACAAGCGGUGGAGCAUGUGGUUUAGUUCGAAGCAACGCGAAGAACCUUACCAGGUCUUGACAUCCCUCUGACCGCUCUAGAGAUAGAGUUUUCCUUCGGGACAGAGGUGACAGGUGGUGCAUGGUUGUCGUCAGCUCGUGUCGUGAGAUGUUGGGUUAAGUCCCGCAACGAGCGCAACCCCUAUUGUUAGUUGCCAUCAUUCAGUUGGGCACUCUAGCGAGACUGCCGGUAAUAAACCGGAGGAAGGUGGGGAUGACGUCAAAUCAUCAUGCCCCUUAUGACCUGGGCUACACACGUGCUACAAUGGCUGGUACAACGAGUCGCAAGCCGGUGACGGCAAGCUAAUCUCUGAAAGCCAGUCUCAGUUCGGAUUGUAGGCUGCAACUCGCCUACAUGAAGUCGGAAUCGCUAGUAAUCGCGGAUCAGCACGCCGCGGUGAAUACGUUCCCGGGCCU
This 1369-nucleotide ribosomal RNA is filed under the name uncultured bacterium. Its description in RNAcentral is "bacterial SSU rRNA". It matches the Rfam family "Bacterial small subunit ribosomal RNA", at positions 28 to 1381 of the family's 1533-position model. The record is from RNAcentral.